Molecule: ribosomal RNA, 453 nt
Filed under: uncultured Porphyromonadaceae bacterium
Lineage: Bacteria; Pseudomonadati; Bacteroidota; Bacteroidia; Bacteroidales; Porphyromonadaceae
Description: partial 16S ribosomal RNA
Rfam family: Bacterial small subunit ribosomal RNA
Source: RNAcentral
ACGGGAGGCAGCAGUGAGGAAUAUUGGACAAUGGAUGGAAAUCUGAUCCAGCCAUGCCGCGUGAAGGAUAAGGUCCUAUGGAUUGUAAACUUCUUUUGUACGGGAGCAAUAAGGGUCACGAGUGGUCCGAUGAGAGUACCGUACGAAUAAGCAUCGGCUAACUCCGUGCCAGCAGCCGCGGUAAUACGGAGGAUGCGAGCGUUAUCCGGAUUUAUUGGGUUUAAAGGGUGCGUAGGCGGAACUUCAAGUCAGCGGUGAAACGCAGGGGCUCAACCCCUGACCUGCCGUUGAAACUGGGGAUCUGGAAUGCGGAUGCUGUGGGAGGAAUGUGUGGUGUAGCGGUGAAAUGCAUAGAUAUCACACAGAACACCGAUUGCGAAGGCAUCUCACAAAUCCGUUAUUGACGCUGAGGCACGAAAGUGUGGGGAUCAAACAGGAUUAGAUACCCUGGUA